CAGCAGUGGCUAAGAGCAUACCCACCGGUCUAGGGAAUUUGAUGAUAUAAGGGGGAACGUGUCCUGCAUGUGCCCAAAUAGCACGUGCAAAGUCCCAAAAGUAAAUAACCUGUCCAUUGGUAAUGAAAAAGACUUGGCCAUUGGCAGUAGGAUUACUAGAAAGUAAAUUGUCCAUAGCCAGAAGAUGAGCAUAGGCAGCGUUUUCGAUGUAGGUAAAAUCAAAAAGAUUCAAAUUAUCACCCAAUUGAAAUUUGGUUUGUCCAUUCUUUAAAACAGAAAGCAUACCAGGGACGAGUUGGCGAUCACCUGGACCAAAUAAACCAGCAACUCUAAGGGCAGCAGUUUUUAAAGAUUCAGAACUUGCCUCCAAGACUUGUUUUUCUGCCAAAGCUUUGGACUCGUUAUAGGCAUCCAUAUGAACUUCUGGGAUGGGCUGGGACUCAUCCACAUUGAUAAGGUCAGCACCAUUGAAAACUACACCUGCGGAACUAGUAUAAACAAGGGCAUCAACAUUAAAUUUCUGGCAUGC
Molecule: non-coding RNA, 529 nt
Organism: Schizosaccharomyces pombe (fission yeast)
Lineage: Eukaryota; Fungi; Ascomycota; Schizosaccharomycetes; Schizosaccharomycetales; Schizosaccharomycetaceae
Source: the annotation of a GenBank genome assembly